ACGGCCUCAGAUCAGACGUGGCGACCCGAUGAAUUUAAGCGUAUUACUAAGCGGCAGAAAAGAAAUUAACCAGGAUUCCCUCAGUAACGGCCAGUGAAGAGCCCAGCGCUGAAUCCCGGCUCAGCGGCAGGUGUGGGAAAUGUGGCAUACAGAAGACAGACUCCCCGGCAUCGCUCAGGGGGCUCAAGUCCUUCUGUUUGAGUCUCACCCCGCGGACGGUGUUAGGCCGGUAGCGGCCUCUGGCACACCGGGUUCAGGCCUUCUUGGUGUCAGGUUGCUUGGGAAUGCAUCCCAAAGCAUGUGGUAAACUCAGUCUAAAGAUAAAUACAGGCGCGAGACGGAUGGCUAACGAGUACUGUAAGGGAAAGUUGAAAAGAACUUUGAAGAAAGAGUUCAAGAGGGCGUGAAACCGUUGAGGUAAACCAGUGGUGUCUGUGCAAUCCGCCCGCAGGAUUCAACACAGUAGGCAGGUCAGUCGCCUGGAAUGGUGGAUGCCCUUGCAGGACUACGGCCCGGGCACACCCGCCCCCACAGGGCGCAUUUCCUCUGUGGCGGUGCAACGUGGCAGGCUGGGAAGGCCAUGGGGGCAGGUGACUGCUCUGGUGGCGAGUGUUACAGCCCCCUGACAGCAGAUUUUCUAUGUCCGAGGGAGAUUGACUGCUGCCGUGCCCUUCUCAGGCAAUCGCCCUGGUCCCUCUUGGGGUCGCUGGGGCGGUGAUGGGAGACAGGGAUCCCCCAGCGACUGGUGGACUGCCCUCAGUGCACCCUGACCACGUCAUUGCGCUGGGCGGGGAGGCCCACAAAGGGCGCCAGGGCUCUGAGGUGAUUUCGGUUAACCACCCAACCUGUCUUGAAACGCGGGCCAAGGAGUCACGUGUGCAAGUCUGAGGGCUGAAUAAAACACGGUGGUGCAAAGAAGGUGAGGGCCGGCGUGUGCCGAUUGCGGUGGGAUCCCGUUGUGGUGGGUGCACUGCCGACCCGUCUCGUCCGCUCUGUCAGGAGCUGGAGCAUGAGUGUGUGUGUGAUAGGAACCGAAAGAUGGUGAACUAGGACUGGUGGAGGUCCGUAGCUGUCCUGAUGUGUAAAUUGGUCGUCCGACCUCGGUAUAGGGGCGAAAGACUAAUCGAACCUCCUAGUAGCUGGUUCCCUCCGGAGUUUCCCUCAGGAUAGCUGGUGCACGGAAACACCAGUUUUAUCUGGUAAAGCAAAUGAUUAGAGGUCUUGGGGCCAAAAUUAUCUCAACCUAUUCUCAAACCUUAAAUGGGUAAGCAGCCUGGCUUGCUGGAGUGGAGCCAGGCAUUAAAUGCACUUGCCCAGUGGGCAACUUUUGUUAAGCAGAACUGGCACUGCAGGAUGAACCGAAUGCCGACGGUCAUCAGACCCCAGAAAAGGUGUUGGUUGAUAUAGAAAGCAGGACGGUUGGCCAUGGAAGAUGAAAUCCACCGAGCCCCAGGGAGGGUUCUCUUUUCUUUGUGAAGGGCAGUGCACCCUGGAAUGGGUUCGCCUUGAGAGAGGGGCUAGAGCCUUGGAAAGCGGCGCAGGUCCGCGGCAUGCAGUGAGCUCUCGCUGGUUCUUGAAGAUGGUUUAUAUCUCGUGCCUGGCCAUUCCCAUAUCCGCAGCAGGUCUCCAAGGUGAACAGCCUCUGGCAUGUUGGAACAAUGUAGGUAAGGGAAGUCGGCAAGUCAGAUCCGUAACUUCGGGAAAAGUAUUGGCUCUAAGGGCUGGGGCGCGAAGCGGGGCUGGGCGUGAGCCACGGCUGGACGCCUUGUCUUAUUCCCCGGGGACGGCGUCGACUCUGGAUGCAAGCCGGGCCCUGCCUGUGGAUCGCCCUAGCUGCGGUGGUCGCCUCUCCGUUCCUCUCCCAGGUUCGGGCUGACGUUCGCCCAACGCCUAGCAGCGGACUUAAAACUGGUGCGGACCAGGGAUAUCCGACUGUUUAAUUAAAACAAAGCAUUGUGAAAGCCUUUGAUAGGUGUUGACGCAAUAUGAUUUCUGCCCAGUGCUCUGAAUGAACAAAGUGAAGAAAUUCAAUGAAUUGCAGGUAAACGGCAAGAGUAACUAUGCCUCCCUUAAGGUAGCCAAAUGUCUUGCAUUCCAAUUAGUGACGCGCAUGAAUGAAUGGACGAGAUUCACACAGUCCCUACCUACUAUCUAACGAAACCACAGCCAAGGGAACAGGCUUGGCAGAAUCAGCGGGGAAAGAAUACACUGUUGUGCUUGCCUCUAGUCUGGCACUUUGAAGAGACAUAAGAGGUGUAGGAUAAGUGGGAGGCCCUCGGGCUGCCGGUGAAAUACCACUACUCUUAUUGUUUCUCUCUUACCAGGUGAGGGUGGGGCGAGCCCCGUGGACCCCCUCCUCAUCCUCACUUUGGCUCCCGCCGCACGUGACCCACGGGGACAGUGGCAGGUGGGGAGUUUGACUGAGUCGGUACACCUGUCAAACGAUAACGCAGGUUUCCUAAGGCGAGCUCAGGGUGGACAGAAACCUCCCGCUGAGUAGAAGGGCAAAAGCUCAUCCUGAUCUCACUUUUUUUCCAGUAUGAAUACAGACCGUGAAAGCGGGGCCUUGCGUUCCUUCUGACUUUUUUUGGAUUUCAAGCAGGAGGUGUCAGAAAAGUUACCACAGGGAUAACUGGCUUGUAGCGGCCAAGCGUUCAUAGCGACGUCGCUUUUUGAUCCUUCGAUGUCUGCUCUUCCUUUCAUCUAAGCAGAAUUCGCCAAGCGCUGGAUUGGUCACCCACUAAUAGGGAACGUGAAGUGGGUGUAGACCGCUGUGAGAUAGGUUAGUUUUACCCUACUGAUGAUAGUAAUCCUGCUCAGUACAAGAGUAACCCGCAGGUUCAGCCAUUUGGUGUAUGUCUGAGGAGCCAAUGGGGCGAAGCUACCAUCUGCGGGUGUAUGAGUGAACGCCUCUAAGUCAGAAUCUCCCCCUAACCUGUAAUGAUACUGCAGCGCUAUCGAGCCUCGGUCGGCCUAGGAUAGCCGGCCUCCGAGCCGGUGCGUAGAGCUGCUCGCCUCGGGACUUGCGUGUGGACAGAAGGGGGCCACCUCUCUCACCCAUAGUGUACCGCAUGUUUGUGGGGAACCUAGUGCUAAAUCAUUCGUAGAUGACCUGAUUCUGGUUCAGGGUUUCAUAAGUAGCAGAGCAGCUACCUCGCUGUGAUCUAUUGAAAGUCGUGCUCUGA
RNAcentral lists this ribosomal RNA (3185 nucleotides) under Ambystoma mexicanum (axolotl). RNAcentral's name for it is "eukaryotic LSU rRNA". It matches the Rfam family "Eukaryotic large subunit ribosomal RNA". The record is from RNAcentral. Lineage: Eukaryota; Metazoa; Chordata; Amphibia; Caudata; Ambystomatidae.